RNAcentral lists this ribosomal RNA (955 nucleotides) under uncultured archaeon. RNAcentral's name for it is "bacterial SSU rRNA". It matches the Rfam family "Archaeal small subunit ribosomal RNA", at positions 74 to 1032 of the family's 1478-position model. The record is from RNAcentral.
ANNNNNNAAAGUANGCUAGUACACGUGGACACCUACCCUAAGGAGGGGGAUAACCCCGGGAAACUGGGGAUAAUACCCCAUAGACUAGAGAAGCUGGAAUGCUCUCAAGUCCAAAGGUCCGCCGCCUUAGGAUGGGUCUGCGGUCGAUUAGGUUGUUGUUGGGGUAACGGCCCAACAAGCCCGUGAUCGAUACGGGUUGUGAGAGCAAGAGCCCGGAGAUGGAUUCUGAGACACGAAUCCAGGCCCUACGGGGCGCAGCAGGCGCGAAAACUUUACAAUGCGGGAAACCGUGAUAAGGGAACCCCGAGUGCCCGUAAAUUCGGGCUGUCCAUCAGCGUAAAUAACUGGUGAAGAAAGGGCCGGGCAAGACCGGUGCCAGCCGCCGCGGUAAUACCGGCGGCUCGAGUGGUGGCCACUAUUAUUGGGCUUAAAGCGUCCGUAGCUUGGUUGUUAAGUCUCUUGGGAAAUCUACCGGCUCAACCGGUAGGCGUUCAGGAGAUACUGGCAAUCUAGGGACCGGGAGAGGUGAGAGGUACUCCAGGGGUAGGAGUGAAAUCCUGUAAUCCUUGGGGGACCACCUGUGGCGAAGGCGUCUCACUAGAACGGCUCCGACAGUGAGGGACGAAAGCUGGGGGAGCAAACCGGAUUAGAUACCCGGGUAGUCCCAGCUGUAAACGAUGCGCGUUAGGUGUAUCGGUGACCACGAGUCACCGAGGUGCCGAAGGGAAACCGUGAAACGUGCCGCCUGGGAAGUACGGGUCGCAAGGCUGAAACUUAAAGGAUUGGCGGGGGAGCACCACACCAGGUGGAGCCUGCGGUUUAAUCGGACUCAACGCCGGAAAGCUCACCGGAUAAGACAGCGGAAUGAUAGCNCGGGCUGAAACUCUGCUUGACUAGCUGAGAGGAAGGUGGCAUGGCCGUCGUCAGUUCCGAACUUGUGAACCAUCCCUGUUUU